RNAcentral lists this ribosomal RNA (203 nucleotides) under uncultured bacterium. RNAcentral describes it as "partial 16S ribosomal RNA". It matches the Rfam family "Bacterial small subunit ribosomal RNA", at positions 1300 to 1500 of the family's 1533-position model. The record is from RNAcentral.
GUAGUCUGCAACUCGACUACAUGAAGCCGGAAUCGCUAGUAAUCGCGAAUCAGCAUGUCGCGGUGAAUACGUUCCCGGGUCUUAUACACACCGCCCGUCACACCAUGGGAGUUGGUAACGCCCGAAGCCAGUGACCCAACCGGAAACGGAGGGAGCUGUCGAAGGUGGGACCGAUAACUGGGGUGAAGUCGUAACAAGGUAUC